AGCUUUGCAGAGUGGCAAUAUUGUAGCCAAUGAGUUUUAUCCGAGGCGCAAUUAUUGCUAAUUGAAAAAAAAAUUCAUCAAACUAUACAUAAGAGUCUAUGAUCUAUCUCAAUAUA
Non-coding RNA from Myotis brandtii (Brandt's bat), 116 nucleotides. Lineage: Eukaryota; Metazoa; Chordata; Mammalia; Chiroptera; Vespertilionidae. The record is from Rfam.